Molecule: ribosomal RNA, 428 nt
Filed under: uncultured prokaryote
Description: bacterial SSU rRNA
Rfam family: Bacterial small subunit ribosomal RNA
Source: RNAcentral
UGGGGAAUAUUGGGCAAUGGGCGAAAGCCUGACCCAGCGACGCCGCGUGGGCGAUGAAGGCCUUCGGGUUGUAAAGCCCUGUCAUGCGGAAAGAACGACCCUGUGACGCAUACUCACAGGGAGUGGCGGUACCGCAGGAGGAAGCACCGGCUAACUCCGUGCCAGCAGCCGCGGUAAUACGGAGGGUGCAGGCGUCGUUCGGAAGUAUUGGGCGUAAAGGGCGCGUAGGCGGUAAUGUAAGUCAGAGGUGAAAUGCUUCGGCUCAACUGAAGAACUGCAUCUGAAACUGCAGAACUAGAGUACAGAAGAGGGAAACGGAGUUCCCGGUGUAGAGGUGAAAUUCGUAGAUAUCGGGAGGAACACCAGUGGCGAAGGCGGUUUCCUGGUCUGAUACUGACGCUGAGGCGCGAAAGUGUGGGGAGCAAACA